Molecule: ribosomal RNA, 492 nt
Filed under: uncultured bacterium
Lineage: Bacteria
Description: partial 16S ribosomal RNA
Rfam family: Bacterial small subunit ribosomal RNA
Source: RNAcentral
AGUGAACGCUGGCGGUAGGCCUAACACAUGCAAGUCGAACGGCAGCACAGUAAGAGCUUGCUCUUACGGGUGGCGAGUGGCGGACGGGUGAGGAAUACAUCGGAAUCUACUUUUUCGUGGGGGAUAACGUAGGGAAACUUACGCUAAUACCGCAUACGACCUACGGGUGAAAGCAGGGGAUCUUCGGACCUUGCGCGAUUGAAUGAGCCGAUGUCGGAUUAGCUAGUUGGCGGGGUAAAGGCCCACCAAGGCGACGAUCCGUAGCUGGUCUGAGAGGAUGAUCAGCCACACCGGAACUGAGACACGGUCCAGACUCCUACGGAAGGCAGCAGUGGGGAAUAUUGGACAAUGGGCGCAAGCCUGAUCCAGCCAUACCGCGUGGGUGAAGAAGGCCUUCGGGUUGUAAAGCCCUUUUGUUGGGAAAGAAAAGCAGCAGGUUAAUACCCCGCUGUUCUGACGGUACCCAAAGAAUAAGCACCGGCUAACUUCGUG